Molecule: long non-coding RNA, 617 nt
Organism: Mercenaria mercenaria
Lineage: Eukaryota; Metazoa; Mollusca; Bivalvia; Venerida; Veneridae
Exons: 3
Source: RefSeq, a predicted model, not a curated record
GGGGAACGUUCCAUAGAGACUGGUUUGGUAGAACUAACCCCUCACAGUUACCCACAGUUUCUAAGCUAGACAGUCACGAAUGCACGGGAGACGAGGAAUUUUUGGAGCUGUGUCCAAAGUUCCAGUUGAAGAAUGGAAAUGGGGACAAGGAGAUAGCCUUAACUUGUUUUGAAAGCGAUCCCACGUAUGUUUCACUUGAACAAUGGACUGCUGGAACAGUGGUUAUUGAGGCUUUUGAGGUGCUACAGGGUGGGGUUUGUGGUACAGGGUGGACUAAUAGUGCUACAACGGUAGCUUGCCGGAGCAUAAAUCCAUUGUGGACGAGAGCGAGGGAAUGUACCAACAACUGUUUUUCGUCAAGUAUAACAGACAUCACUACAAAUCAUAUCCACUGUUCCGGAGACGAGCCUCAUCUGUUUUACUGUGAGAAUAAAGGGUGGGGUUACAAUGCCGACUGUGACACUAGCAAUCUUGUAGGCAUAGUGUGUAAUCCAUGAUCUUGACAGUAAUAGUACUGCGGCGCAAACAAAAACCAAUUCAAUGCAUAUACACAUGAAUGCUUAUAUUGGCAGCAUGACAUAAAGUUAUUUCAGGGGUGUUUGAGAAAAUGUCUAACC